AAGAAUUGUCUCUCAAAAUAGGACCAAGUACGUCUAACUUAAGACAUACCCAAACCAUAAUGAUGGAGAAAUACUAAGCAACAAAGCAUCACAUCUAUACUAACAUUUUAAUUGAUAAUGACAUUGAUUGUAACAACGCUAGUUUUGUUUGUUACUUUCUCCAACUUGACUAAAUACCAAUUCGAAAGAGAAAGACGUAGUUUGCUGUUUUUGUG
This 215-nucleotide long non-coding RNA is filed under the name Nicotiana benthamiana. Its description in RNAcentral is "long non-coding RNA (NBEN_LNC018923)". Lineage: Eukaryota; Viridiplantae; Streptophyta; Magnoliopsida; Solanales; Solanaceae. The record is from RNAcentral.